AGAAGCUCAUAAAAAAGGCUGAGCACGCGCUCCCACUUUUCUGCGGCAUCAUUUGCUGCAGCCUCAGCAAGAUGCAAAGAAGGCUCGAUACACUCCAACACCAACUCUAGCACUCCCUGAAAACAAGGCCGUCCGGGUGUUCUGCUGGGCUUCGUGGUUCAGGCCCUCUGGUGGCGGCUGGAAGAAGGCGAUGAGAUCCUGCAGGCUGUGUGUGACCAUCUCCAUUGGCAACAUGAUAAGUGGAAGGAUGAAGCUGGACUCGCAGUAAUGGAUGUAAACUACCUGAUAAAGGUGUUGAAGAGGAGAGUGGUGCUCCGGAUGAGGCAGGCGGUGUGAGAUUCUUCCCUCUGAGAUCGAGACAGCGUCAACCCGUCAUCCAUAUGACCCUCACUAUGCAAGAUAGCCUGGAAAAGCAUCAUUUGCAAUUAUUCUUAUAGGCUUUAAUAAUAACAAAAUGGAUUUAUGAUCAUUUCCAGCAACUUUUAAAGGGACCAAAAGACACUUUGGGGGCGACACGGCUCAGAUGGUAGAGCGUCCGACCACAAACUUAGGGGUUCCUAGUUAGAAUACAGCUUCUGCCAUUCCAGUCACUGCAGUUGUGUCCUCGGGCAAGACAUUUCACCCACACUGGUAGAAAUGGAACUUAAGCGAGGCGAGUAGAUA
This is a long non-coding RNA of Entelurus aequoreus (snake pipefish), 663 nucleotides long. RefSeq lists it as uncharacterized. Lineage: Eukaryota; Metazoa; Chordata; Actinopteri; Syngnathiformes; Syngnathidae. The record is from RefSeq and is a predicted model, not a curated record. The transcript is spliced from 3 exons.